AUUGAACGCUGGCGGCAGGCCUAACACAUGCAAGUCGAGCGGUAGAGAGAAGCUUGCUUCUCUUGAGAGCGGCGGACGGGUGAGUAAUGCCUAGGAAUCUGCCUGGUAGUGGGGGAUAACGUUCGGAAACGGACGCUAAUACCGCAUACGUCCUACGGGAGAAAGCAGGGGACCUUCGGGCCUUGCGCUAUCAGAUGAGCCUAGGUCGGAUUAGCUAGUUGGUGAGGUAAUGGCUCACCAAGGCGACGAUCCGUAACUGGUCUGAGAGGAUGAUCAGUCACACUGGAACUGAGACACGGUCCAGACUCCUACGGGAGGCAGU
RNAcentral lists this ribosomal RNA (322 nucleotides) under uncultured Pseudomonadota bacterium. Its description in RNAcentral is "bacterial SSU rRNA". It matches the Rfam family "Bacterial small subunit ribosomal RNA", at positions 30 to 352 of the family's 1533-position model. The record is from RNAcentral. Lineage: Bacteria; Pseudomonadati; Pseudomonadota.